UAUUGCACAAUGGGGGAAACCCUGAUGCAGCGACGCCGCGUGAGUGAGGAAGUAUUUCGGUAUGUAAAGCUCUAUCAGCAGGGAAGAAAAUGACGGUACCUGACUAAGAAGCUCCGGCUAAAUACGUGCCAGCAGCCGCGGUAAUACGUAUGGAGCAAGCGUUAUCCGGAUUUAAUGGGUGUAAAGGGAGCGUAGGCGGUAAGGCAAGUCUGAUGUGAAAGGCCAGGGCUCAACCCUGGGACUGCAUUGGAAACUGUUUAACUGGAGUGUCGGAGAGGCAAGUGGAAUUCCUAGUGUAGCGGUGAAAUGCGUAGAUAUUAGGAGGAACACCAGUGGCGAAGGCGGCUUGCUGGACGAUGACUGACGCUGAGGCUCGAAAGCGUGGGUAUCGAACAGG
This 397-nucleotide ribosomal RNA is filed under the name uncultured bacterium. RNAcentral describes it as "bacterial SSU rRNA". It matches the Rfam family "Bacterial small subunit ribosomal RNA", at positions 362 to 776 of the family's 1533-position model. The record is from RNAcentral.